UGCCCUAGUAACGGCGAGUGAAGCGGCAACAGCUCAAAUUUGAAAUCUGGCUACUUUGUAGUCCGAGUUGUAAUUUGCAGAGGAUGCUUUUGGUGAGGUGCCUUCCGAGUUCCCUGGAACGGGACGCCAUAGAGGGUGAGAGCCCCGUACGGUUGGAUGCCAAACCUUUGUAUAGCUCCUUCAACGAGUCGAGUAGUUUGGGAAUGCUGCUCUAAAUGGGAGGUAUAUCUCUUCUAAAGCUAAAUAUAGGCUAGAGACCGAUAGCGCACAAGUAGAGUGAUCGAAAGAUGAAAAGCACUUUGAAAAGAGAGUUAAACAGCACGUGAAAUUGUUGAAAGGGAAGCGCCUAUGACCAGACUUGUCUCUAUCAGUUUUGCUAGUUUUCGGACUGGUUUACUCUGUUAGUACAGGCCAGCAUCAGUUUGUUGUUAGGGAGAAAGGCUUUGGGAAUGUGGCUCCUCCGGGAGUGUUAUAGCCCUUUGCAUAAUACCUUUCGGCAGACUGAGGACCGCGCUUCGGCAAGGAUGCUGGCGUAAUGGUCAUCAGCGACCCGUCUUGAAACACGGACCAAGGAGUCAACCUUAUGUGCGAGUGUUUGGGUGUAAAACCCCAGCGCGUAAUGAACGUGAACGUAGGUGAGAGCUUCGGCGCAUCAUCGACCGAUUCUGAUGUUCUCGGAUGGAUUUGAGUAAGAGCACACAGGGUUGGACCCGAAAGAAGGUGAACUAUGCUUGUAUAGGGUGAAGCCAGAGGAAACUCUGGUGGAGGCUCGCAGCGGUUCUGACGUGCAAAUCGAUCGUCAAAUAUGAGCAUGGGGGCGAAAG
RNAcentral lists this ribosomal RNA (824 nucleotides) under Thielaviopsis paradoxa. RNAcentral's name for it is "eukaryotic LSU rRNA". It matches the Rfam family "Eukaryotic large subunit ribosomal RNA", at positions 76 to 929 of the family's 3401-position model. The record is from RNAcentral. Lineage: Eukaryota; Fungi; Ascomycota; Sordariomycetes; Microascales; Ceratocystidaceae.